Molecule: unclassified non-coding RNA, 374 nt
Filed under: uncultured Actinomycetes bacterium
Lineage: Bacteria; Bacillati; Actinomycetota; Actinomycetes
Description: uncultured actinobacterium contains 16S-23S intergenic spacer region
Source: RNAcentral
UCCAACUUAUCGCUGGCGGUCUCCUGAGAGUGCCCCCUUGCGGGGUUGCAACACAGGACAAGGGUUGCGCUCGUUGCGGGACUUAACCCAACAUCUCACGACACGAGCUGACGACAACCAUGCACCACCUGUGCAGGGCUCCGAAGGACACCGUAUCUCUACGGCUUUUCCCUGCAUGUCAAGCCCAGGUAAGGUUCUUCGCGUUGCCUCGAAUUAAGCAACAUGCUCCGCCGCUUGUGCGGGCCCCCGUCAAUACCUUUGAGUUUUAGCCUUGCGGCCGUACUCCCCAGGCGGGGCAUUUAGUGCGUUAGCGACGGCACGGGAGGAGUCGACACCUCCCACACCUAAUACCCAUCGUUUACGGCGUGGACUAC